This is a long non-coding RNA of Helianthus annuus (common sunflower), 1847 nucleotides long. RefSeq lists it as uncharacterized. Lineage: Eukaryota; Viridiplantae; Streptophyta; Magnoliopsida; Asterales; Asteraceae. The record is from RefSeq and is a predicted model, not a curated record. The transcript is spliced from 8 exons.
UUCAAAGGUCUGCACUCAUUCAAAAUACAAACCUCUGCCAUUCCUUCAAAAUUCAAACAUCUGCCCUUCAUUCAAAAUUCAAAUCUCUGGCCAGAUUCAAAAUUCUGGCUCUAGAUCAAAAUUCAAAUCACAUACGUAUAAAAGAUCACACCAUCUGUAGAGAGAACCAGAGAAAAAAAAAGGCAUGGGUAAUUAGCAGAGAACAUGGAGCUUCAAUGGCUUCUCCAAAGAAAGAUAUACUUCUAUAAUGACGAAAAUGAUGAAAAUCACCACUCGAUUGUAUCGCUAUUGAAUCUUCUCCUCUUCCUCCUCCCAAAAUGAUGAAAAUUAGGGUUUGUUCAUCAUCACCCUCCUUAUUCUAUCAUCUUCAUUCUUUCUUCAAGGAGAGAUGAGGGAACGUGAACAUGAGUUGUUGUUUCGUCAGUUUGAGAAUUUGCAGUCACAGUCGCUGAUACAUUUUGUUCCAUAGCUUAGCAAAAACACCAGAUGUAGAAACAAAGACAAAUCCUAUAGACCGUGUUAUGGCGCGCUUGCUUUUUCACACGCCAACCAGGGAACUUGUGCAGUCACCAACAAUGAAAUUUCAUAAUGAGCACCACAGAGAUAAUCAGGCAUAGUGGGAGCUGCAGUAGCAGGGGUUGUUCUCGUCGGUGGACUCACCUUCGCAACUUUAUCUAUAAAUAGAUGCGCACCUAGGCCAAAAAAAACAUGGAAACUUUGACGAAACAUCAGGAAGAGUCAUUGACCUCUGAUCAGAAUGAUAAUGUUGAAGAUUAAAGAACCGAGACAAAAACGAUAACUAUGUUUCCAACGAAAAAGAAAAUGAAAUUACAAAUGAUAAUGAACCAGACCAUAGUACCACCAUCGAAGGCAGCGAUGUGACGGACAACAUUUCUGUACAACCGGAGUUACAAGAGGAGUUACCUGAACACAAAUUUGUAAAGAAUGAAAUUAAUACAAGCAAGUAUGAUUGAUGUUAGGUUAUUGAAGGUGAUGUUCAGCCCGGUGACUUGUGCUCACGCCAUGAAUAUGCUCGAUGGUUGGUUUCUGCCAGCAGUGCUUUUUCUAGGUACAUAUUGUGAGUAAUUGUGAAUUUAGAAGGUGAAUUUCGUUGGUUUAAACUUUAAAUGAAGCAAUUAUGCUUGUAAUGAAUGAUGAAACUAUGCAUCAGUUAUGUAAACAGGUUGUUUCACAGGUAUAUGCUUACUUUCAUAUGUGAUAUGAUCUACUAAAUGUUUCUAAGUUCAGGUAUAUGUGACAAGAAAACGUAUGUAACUGUUGAUGAAUAGUGAUAAGAAGAGGAAAGAGAGGUUGAGUGAGAGUGGUGGCAAUGUACCGAAGAAGUUGAAACCUCUGUUUGUUGUGAAACAUGUAUUUGGCAAAGGUAUAGCUCAUUAGUUCAUAUCGACACUACACUAACCAGGGCCAAAUUCGAAGAAUUGUGCUCAGAUUUACUCGACAGGCUUAAAAUGCUAGUUGAAACGGCUUUAAAGGAUGCAAAUCUUUCGCUUAAAGAUAUUGUUGUUGUUUAUAAUGAAGGUAGGUAUACCAGAGUUUUUAAAUGGAAUCGGUAACGGAGUGGAGACGUAUGCAGAAAAGCUUGAAGCUGAAUUUGGAGAUUUACAGAAUCUGUUGGUUGCUCGAUCUAUGAAACUAAAGAAGCUCAGUGUUGGAGCUGAUCCGAAAUCUACUUAUUUUUUAAAAGAUCGUGUACAUUUGUAAACAUAUGUUUGGUUACCUUCAGCCACGUGAAAAUUCUGAUUUUAUUUAUUUUUCAGUUAAUGUAGAUUUCGUACAUAUUUUCUUUGUGACAUGAACAUGUAUAAGUAUCUAAUUUUGUUUACUUA